GUAGGGGGCAAGCGUUAUCCGGAUUUACUGGGUGUAAAGGGAGCGCAGACGGCACUGCAAGUCUGAAGUGAAAGCCCGGGGCUCAACCCCGGGACUGCUUUGGAAACUGUAGAGCUAGAGUGCUGGAGAGGCAAGCGGAAUUCCUAGUGUAGCGGUGAAAUGCGUAGAUAUUAGGAAGAACACCAGUGGCGAAGGCGGCUUGCUGGACAGUAACUGACGUUCAGGCUCGAAAGCGUGGGGAGCAAACAGGAUUAGAUACCCUGGUAGUCCACGCUGUAAACGAUGAAUACUAGGUG
RNAcentral lists this ribosomal RNA (296 nucleotides) under uncultured bacterium. RNAcentral's name for it is "partial 16S ribosomal RNA". It matches the Rfam family "Bacterial small subunit ribosomal RNA", at positions 527 to 822 of the family's 1533-position model. The record is from RNAcentral.